GGGGAUUUAGCACAAUGGUAGUGCAUUACUUUUCAAUAAUAUUGAUAACGGUUUGGUGAAGACUGUAGGUUCGAUUCCUAUAAUCCCUA
This 89-nucleotide transfer RNA is filed under the name Entamoeba invadens IP1. It matches the Rfam family "tRNA". Rfam says of the family: Transfer RNA (tRNA) molecules are approximately 80 nucleotides in length. Their secondary structure includes four short double-helical elements and three loops (D, anti-codon, and T loops). Further hydrogen bonds mediate the characteristic L-shaped molecular structure. tRNAs have two regions of fundamental functional importance: the anti-codon, which is responsible for specific mRNA codon recognition, and the 3' end, to which the tRNAs corresponding amino acid is attached (by aminoacyl-tRNA synthetases). tRNAs cope with the degeneracy of the genetic code in two manners: having more than one tRNA (with a specific anti-codon) for a particular amino acid; and 'wobble' base-pairing, i.e. permitting non-standard base-pairing at the 3rd anti-codon position. The record is from Rfam by way of RNAcentral. Lineage: Eukaryota; Evosea; Mastigamoebida; Endamoebidae.